This 497-nucleotide ribosomal RNA is filed under the name uncultured bacterium. RNAcentral describes it as "partial 16S ribosomal RNA". It matches the Rfam family "Bacterial small subunit ribosomal RNA", at positions 28 to 507 of the family's 1533-position model. The record is from RNAcentral.
GAUGAACGCUGGCGGCGUGCCUAAUACAUGCAAGUCGAGCGAACAGACGAGGAGCUUGCUCCUCUGACGUUAGCGGCGGACGGGUGAGUAACACGUGGAUAACCUACCUAUAAGACUGGGAUAACUUCGGGAAACCGGAGCUAAUACCGGAUAAUAUAUUUAACCGCAUGGUUCAAUAGUGAAAGACGGUUUUGCUGUCACUUAUAGAUGGAUCCGCGCCGCAUUAGCUAGUUGGUAAGGUAACGGCUUACCAAGGCAACGAUGCGUAGCCGACCUGAGAGGGUGAUCGGCCACACUGGAACUGAGACACGGUCCAGACUCCUAAGGGAGGCAGCAGUAGGGAAUCUUCAGCAAUGGGCGAAAGCGUGACGGAGCAACGCCGCGUGAGUGAUGAAGGUCUUCGGAUCGUAAAACUCUGUUAUUAGGGAAGAACAAAUGUGUAAGUAACUAUGCACGUCUUGACGGUACCUAAUCAGAAAGCCACGGCUAACUACGUG